AUUGAACGCUAGCGGGAUGCUUUACACAUGCAAGUCGAACGGCAGCGCGGACUUCGGUCUGGCGGCGAGUGGCGAACGGGUGAGUAAUGUAUCGGAACGUGCCCAGUAGCGGGGGAUAACUACGCGAAAGCGUAGCUAAUACCGCAUACGCCCUACGGGGGAAAGCAGGGGAUCGUAAGACCUUGCACUAUUGGAGCGGCCGAUAUCGGAUUAGCUAGUUGGUAAGGUAACGGGUCACCAAGGCGACGAUCCGUAGCUGGUUUGAGAGGACGACCAGCCACACUGGGACUGAGACACGGCCCAGACUCCUACGGGAGGCAGCAGUGGGGAAUUUUGGACAAUGGGGGCAACCCUGAUCCAGCCAUCCCGCGUGUGCGAUGAAGGCCUUCGGGUUGUAAAGCACUUUUGGCAGGAAAGAAACGUCGCGGGCUAAUACCCCGUGGAACUGACGGUACCUGCAGAAUAAGCACCGGCUAACUACGUG
RNAcentral lists this ribosomal RNA (484 nucleotides) under uncultured bacterium. RNAcentral describes it as "partial 16S ribosomal RNA". It matches the Rfam family "Bacterial small subunit ribosomal RNA", at positions 30 to 507 of the family's 1533-position model. The record is from RNAcentral.